Molecule: ribosomal RNA, 231 nt
Filed under: uncultured bacterium
Lineage: Bacteria
Description: partial 16S ribosomal RNA
Rfam family: Bacterial small subunit ribosomal RNA
Source: RNAcentral
CGGGUGCGUAACACGUAUGCAACCUACCUUGUACAGGAGGAUAGCUCGGGGAAACUCGAAUUAACCCUCCAUAAUAUAAUUGGAUGGCAUCAUUUGAUUAUUAAAACUUUGGUGGUACAAGAUGGGCAUGCGUCUGAUUAGUUAGUUGGCGGGGUAAAGGCCCACCAAGACGAUGAUCAGUAGGGGAACUGAGAGGUUGAUCCCCCACACUGGCACUGAGAUACGGGCCAG